RNAcentral lists this ribosomal RNA (253 nucleotides) under uncultured bacterium. Its description in RNAcentral is "partial 16S ribosomal RNA". It matches the Rfam family "Bacterial small subunit ribosomal RNA", at positions 524 to 776 of the family's 1533-position model. The record is from RNAcentral.
UACGUAGAAGACGAGCGUUGUCCGGAGUUACUGGGCGUAAAGGGUGCGCAGGCGGCCCGCCGCGUGUGGGGUAAAAUCUCCCGGCUCAACUGGGAGGGUGGUCGCGAGACGGCUGGGCUUGAGGCUCGGUGAGGGGCGUGGAAUUCCGGGUGGAGCGGUGAAAUGCGUAGAGAUCCGGAGGAACACCGACGGCGUAGGCAGCGCCCUAGACGAGACCUGACGCUCAGGCACGAAAGCGCGGGGAGCGAACAGG